Long non-coding RNA from Xiphophorus hellerii (green swordtail), 928 nucleotides. RefSeq lists it as uncharacterized. The transcript has 4 exons. Lineage: Eukaryota; Metazoa; Chordata; Actinopteri; Cyprinodontiformes; Poeciliidae. The record is from RefSeq and is a predicted model, not a curated record.
UGAAAUUGAUGAAAUAAAUCGAUAAGAAAAUGAAAAAAGGUCUAUCUGUGUUACUUGUUUCAUUCUCAUAGAAGAACUGCAGUGCUGGUCACUGAUCGAACACAAUGUAGCAAUGGAAAAGAUCUUCCAUUGCUUAAAAAUGCUGCUUUGUGUGGCCAUCUUGGACUCUUUAAUACAGGGCUUUAGGGUUCAAGAGAUUCCCAACUUGACUCUGAAUGCAUCCGAAUUGCUGAUGAACAACCUCAAUGCCCUCUAAAGCAGGCUCCACUGCGCUGUUUGAGAAACCUUCCAGAAGCGCCACCCUGGAAAUUCAAAUGUAUUGUACUUUGCGGAUGGGAAAAAAACAGUUAACCAAAGAGAGCCAAAGACAGAGAUAGCACGUGUGACUUGAUGACCCAAUCCAAGGAAGGCUUUUAGUGUAACGGGUAAAAACAAAUCCGGAACAUAUUGCCAAAUUAGGACUUCCUACGUGGCAUUGAAGAAAUUGAACAUAUCCAGCUAUACUUAAUCACAAUAUUGGCGUAGGCAAUUUGGUGCAAAAACCAGGAAAACCUUCAUUACUUUGGAAACGCAUCAUUUUGUGAAAGCCAUUGUAAUAACUAAACUAAACAUUUAUUUAAGCUACUAAAACUUAGCUUAAAGGAACUGUCCAGGAAAACAGAGUGCUUGUAUGCGAAAGACCAAAGUACAAAGAUAUGUUUAUGCUGCUGUAUUUAAAAUAAAUGAAUACAAUUUAUGUCUGUUUGUCUUUCAGGUCCAGAAGGAGGCGUUAACAAUCGUAGUGCACAACAGGCGACGGCGCCAUCCGAAGACAUAGACGAGUUCUACAGUCUGACACAGAAUCCUCGAGGCUUGUGUGUGAUCAUCAGCAACGAGGACUUCAUGGGCUCUAAAUACAAAAAACGUCUUGGAAGCAAAAUGGACAACG